RNAcentral lists this ribosomal RNA (253 nucleotides) under uncultured bacterium. Its description in RNAcentral is "partial 16S ribosomal RNA". It matches the Rfam family "Bacterial small subunit ribosomal RNA", at positions 524 to 776 of the family's 1533-position model. The record is from RNAcentral.
UACAGAGGUCUCAACCGUUGUUCGGAUUCAUUGGGCGUAAAGGGUGCGUGGGCGGUCGUGCAAGUCGGAUGUGAAAUCUCAGGGCUCAACCCUGAAACUGCAUUCGAUACUGCGUGGCUAGAGUGCUGGAGAGGAGACUGGAAUUUACGGUGUAGCAGUGAAAUGCGUAGAUAUCUGGAGGAACACCGGUGGCGAAGGCGGCAUCCUGGACCAACACUGACACUGAGGAGCGAAAGCCAGGGGAGCAAACGGG